RNAcentral lists this ribosomal RNA (498 nucleotides) under uncultured bacterium. Its description in RNAcentral is "partial 16S ribosomal RNA". It matches the Rfam family "Bacterial small subunit ribosomal RNA", at positions 29 to 523 of the family's 1533-position model. The record is from RNAcentral.
AUUGAACGCUGGCGGCAUGCCUUACACAUGCAAGUCGAACGGUAACGCGGGGCAACCUGGCGACGAGUGGCGAACGGGUGAGUAAUGCAUCGGAACGUGCCCAGUAGUGGGGGAUAGCCCGGCGAAAGCCGGAUUAAUACCGCAUACGACCUACGGGUGAAAGCGGGGGACCGUAAGGCCUCGCGCUAUUGGAGCGGCCGAUGUCAGCUUAGGUUGUUGGUGGGGUAAAAGCCUACCAAGCCGACGCUCUGUAGCUGGUCUGAGAGGACGACCAGCCACACUGGGACUGAGACACGGCCCAGACUCCUACGGGAGGCAGCAGUGGGGAAUUUUGGACAAUGGGGGCAACCCUGAGCCAGCCAUGCCGCGUGCGGGAAGAAGGCCUUCGGGUUGUAAACCGCUUUUGUCAGGGAAGAAACGCUCUGGGCUAAUACCCCGGGGUAAUGACGGUACCUGAAGAAUAAGCACCGGCUAACUACGUGCCAGCCGCCGCAGUAA